Molecule: microRNA, 22 nt
Filed under: Human alphaherpesvirus 2
Lineage: Duplodnaviria; Heunggongvirae; Peploviricota; Herviviricetes; Herpesvirales; Orthoherpesviridae
Description: hsv2-miR-H3
Gene: hsv2-miR-H3
Source: miRBase by way of RNAcentral
UUUGGGAGUCUGCGGUUGGGAG